AGGUAUGACGGCACACACCUGUAAUCCUUGCUACUGGGAAGGGUGAGGUUGGUGAAUUGUUUAAGCUCAGGAGUUCUGAGCUGCAAUAGGCCAAGCCUAUUGGGUAUCCAUACGAAGUCUGGCACCAGUAUGGCAAGCCCCUGGGAGUGAGGAGGCCACCAGAUUCCUAAGAAGGGUUGAACUGGCCCAGAUUAGAAAUGGAGCAGGUUAAAAAUACUAUACGAGUCAGUAUCGUGAAUGGCCACAGCACUUGACGAAAAAGGGAGAUCCAGUCUCA
This 277-nucleotide small RNA is filed under the name Phascolarctos cinereus (koala). Its description in RNAcentral is "Metazoan signal recognition particle RNA (ENSPCIG00000005885.2)". Lineage: Eukaryota; Metazoa; Chordata; Mammalia; Diprotodontia; Phascolarctidae. The record is from RNAcentral.